AUGAAAUCUCAAGUUGUGAUAUUCGUUUGCUCCGUACUGAUGGAUCUCAUGCUGAUGUCGGAAGCAUCGAGGCUGCCCCUAGAUCAGUCACCUGUUCAACCUGCGCAACCUCUGCAACCUUUGCCUGUGCAUACGGGCCCGGACCCCAUCUCCAGCAGAGCUGCCGAUCUCAACACUGCUCCUACGACUAACAGUGAGUCCUUUUCUCUUUCGAAGGGUCUCGGGAACAUAAGACGACACCUGUUUGAGAGGUAUUCUUCGAGCACCUUCGGCGGGUUAUUCCCGCAGCCGUACUGGAACAACAGGAACAACUACAACUCAUGGCCCUACCCGUACACCCCUGGUUUCCAGCCGAACCCCGGUUACAACCCUGCUAACCCGUACGACGCUCAGCCAUACAACCCGUACUACCCAUACAACUACUUCGGAAGUUCUUACGGCAACGGCGGCAAUUACGGAUCCUCUGCUCCCAUAGGUGCUAUAGGCUCUGCUAAACCGGGCACAUCCAAAAUUUCCAAGACAUAAAACGUCGAAAGACGCGAAUUUCUUGUAAAAUAACGUAAACCGGUAAAAUGUGUAAAUAAAUUAUUCUAAUUUUGUAAUAAUUGUGACCUUCUCAUUUGUCAAACAAGAAUCAUUUCGACGGAGAAACCACCAGACCACGUAUCUCGUUUGCGGUGUUUAAAAAUCUCCGCUCCCAUUUUAUUUUCUUUGAGGGAAAACAAAUCAAUAUCAUUCCUUGAAGUUUUCACAAAAUAUUUUGCUGAGACAGGAAAAAUCAAGGACGUUUUCAAAAAGUGACGUUGAGUAGUUUUUCAUUAUAAUAUAACAACAAGUCUGCAAC
Molecule: long non-coding RNA, 844 nt
Filed under: Bemisia tabaci
Lineage: Eukaryota; Metazoa; Arthropoda; Insecta; Hemiptera; Aleyrodidae
Description: lncRNA ENSASIAIIG008322
Source: RNAcentral